AGCGGAUCCUGCAGAGGCGGGUGGCCCUGGGGGUGGUUGGCGGCAUCACGCCCUG
RNAcentral lists this non-coding RNA (55 nucleotides) under Prorocentrum minimum. Lineage: Eukaryota; Dinophyceae; Prorocentrales; Prorocentraceae. The record is from RNAcentral.